AGGGGGAGGUCAGAUCUUGGGCUGUGUCCUGGCACCCAGUGCUCCCGGGCCUGGGCUGUUGGAUUCGCGCUCCCGACCGCACAGCCCCCU
RNAcentral lists this microRNA precursor (90 nucleotides) under Canis lupus familiaris (dog). Its description in RNAcentral is "mir-8799 microRNA precursor family". It matches the Rfam family "mir-8799 microRNA precursor family". RNAcentral also lists the same sequence under 1 other name. Lineage: Eukaryota; Metazoa; Chordata; Mammalia; Carnivora; Canidae. The record is from Rfam by way of RNAcentral.